RNAcentral lists this ribosomal RNA (451 nucleotides) under uncultured bacterium. RNAcentral describes it as "bacterial SSU rRNA". It matches the Rfam family "Bacterial small subunit ribosomal RNA", at positions 354 to 797 of the family's 1533-position model. The record is from RNAcentral.
GUGGGGAAUCUUCCGCAAUGGGCGAAAGCCUGACGGAGCAACGCCGCGUGAACGAUGAAGGUCUUAGGAUCGUAAAGUUCUGUUGUUAGGGACGAAGGAUAAGGAUUAUAAUACAGUCUUUGUUUGACGGUACCUAACGAGGAAGCCACGGCUAACUACGUGCCAGCAGCCGCGGUAAUACGUAGGCGGCAAGCGUUGUCCGGAAUUAUUGGGCGUAAAGGGAGCGCAGGCGGGAAACUAAGCGGAUCUUAAAAGUGCGGGGCUCAACCCCGUGAUGGGGUCCGAACUGGUUUUCUUGAGUGCAGGAGAGGAAAGCGGAAUUCCCAGUGUAGCGGUGAAAUGCGUAGAUAUUGGGAAGAACACCAGUGGCGAAGGCGGCUUUCUGGACUGUAACUGACGCUGAGGCUCGAAAGCUAGGGUAGCGAACGGGAUUAGAAACCCUAGUAGUCCC